RNAcentral lists this ribosomal RNA (774 nucleotides) under uncultured Neocallimastigales. Its description in RNAcentral is "partial large subunit ribosomal RNA". It matches the Rfam family "Eukaryotic large subunit ribosomal RNA", at positions 24 to 646 of the family's 3401-position model. Lineage: Eukaryota; Fungi; Neocallimastigomycota; Neocallimastigomycetes; Neocallimastigales. The record is from RNAcentral.
GUAGUCUCGCACAGAUGCAUAUCAAUAAGCGGAGGAAAAGAAACUAACAAGGAUUCCCCUAGUAACGGCGAGUGAAGCGGGAAGAGCUCAAAUUUGAAAUCUUAAAGGGUUUCCCUUUACGAAUUGUAGUUUAAAGAAGUGUUUUCUGUUGAGGUUUUGGUAAAAGUUCUUUGGAAUAGGACAUCAUAGAGGGUGAGAAUCCCGUAUUUGACCUUUACUUUCAACUUUGUGAUACACUUUCAAAGAGUCGGAUUGUUUGGGAAUGCAGUCCAAAAUGGGUGGUAAAUUUCAUCUAAAGCUAAAUAUUGGCGAGAGACCGAUAGCGAACAAGUACCGUGAGGGAAAGAUGAAAAGAACUUUGAAAAGAGAGUUAAACAGUACGUGAAAUUGUCAAAAGGGAAGCGUUUGACACCAGUGUUGUUUUUCUGAAAAUCAAUUAAAGAACUGUUUAUGCUAAGUUGUUUAGACUUUAUCAGCUAACUGUUUAGUUUUGAGCUUUUCUUUAAUGCACUUUUCAGUUAACAAGUCAACAUCAAUUUCUUUUGCUGUAAAAAAGCUUGAGGAAGGUGGCUUGAGAUUCGUCUUAAGUGUUUAUAGCCUCUUGCCUAUGCAGUCGGAGAGAUUGAGGUCUGCAGCGUAGAUCCCUCGGGGCUAAAUGCAUUUGUGCUAAGUUAUAGCAUUUCAUAGACAACUUGUUGACUAUGAUUUGUCUUGUAGCUUACUCGCUUAUGUUAUUUUACCUACGCUUAGGAUGUUGAUCUGUAGUGCGUGCGC